RNAcentral lists this ribosomal RNA (440 nucleotides) under uncultured bacterium. Its description in RNAcentral is "partial 16S ribosomal RNA". It matches the Rfam family "Bacterial small subunit ribosomal RNA", at positions 338 to 795 of the family's 1533-position model. The record is from RNAcentral.
CCUACGGGGUGCAGCAGUAGGGAAUAUUGCUCAAUGGGGGAAACCCUGAAGCAGCAACGCCGCGUGGAGGAUGAAGGUUUUCGGAUUGUACACUCCUUUUGUUAGAGAAGAUAAUGACGGUAUCUAACGAAUAAGCAUCGGAUAACUCCGUGCCAGCAGCCGCGGUAUUACGGAGGGGGCAAGCGUUACUCGGAAUCACUGGGCGUAAAGGGAGCGUAGGCGGGAUAGCAAGGCAGAUGUGAAAUCCUAGGGCUUAACCAUAGAACUGCAUUUGAAACUGUUAUUCUAGAGUAUGGAAGAGGUAGGUGGAAUUCUUGGUGUAGGGGUAAAAUCCGUAGAGAUCAAGAAGAAUACUCAUUGCGAAGGCGACCUGCUAGAACAUAACUGACGCUGAUGCGCGAAAGCGUGGGGAGCAAACAGGAUUAGAUACCCCAGUAGUC